UACGUAGGGUGCGAGCGUUGUCCGGAAUUAUUGGGCGUAAAGAGCUUGUAGGCGGUUUGUCACGUCUGCCGUGAAAAUCCGGGGCUCAACCCCGGACUUGCGGUGGGUACGGGCAGACUAGAGUGUGGUAGGGGAGACUGGAAUUCCUGGUGUAGCGGUGAAAUGCGCAGAUAUCAGGAGGAACACCGAUGGCGAAGGCAGGUCUCUGGGCCACUACUGACGCUGAGAAGCGAAAGCGUGGGGAGCGAACAGG
This 253-nucleotide ribosomal RNA is filed under the name uncultured bacterium. Its description in RNAcentral is "partial 16S ribosomal RNA". It matches the Rfam family "Bacterial small subunit ribosomal RNA", at positions 524 to 776 of the family's 1533-position model. The record is from RNAcentral.